AGAGUUUGAUCCUGGCUCAGGAUGAACGCUAGCUACAGGCUUAACACAUGCAAGUCGAGGGGAAACGAUAUUGGAAGCUUGCUUCCGAUAGGCGUCGACCGGCGCACGGGUGAGUAACGCGUAUCCAACCUGCCCAUCACUUGGGAAUAACCUUGCGAAAGUAAGACUAAUGCCCAAUGACAUUUAUAGAAGGCAUCUGAAAUGAAUUAAAGAUUUAUCGGUGAUGGAUGGGGAUGCGUCUGAUUAGCUUGUUGGCGGGGUAACGGCCCACCAAGGCGACGAUCAGUAGGGGUUCUGAGAGGAAGGUCCCCCACAUUGGAACUGAGACACGGUCCAAACUCCUACGGGAGGCAGCAGUGAGGAAUAUUGGUCAAUGGGCGAGAGCCUGAACCAGCCAAGUAGCGUGCAGGAUGACGGCCCUAUGGGUUGUAAACUGCUUUUAUAGGGGAAUAAAGUGAGCCACGCGUGGUUUUUUGCAUGUACCCUAUGAAUAAGGACCGGCUAAUUCCGUGCCAGCAGCCGCGGUAAUACGGAAGGUCCCGAGCGUGUCGGAUUUAUUGGGCGUAAAGCGAGCGCAGGCGGUUUAAUAAGUCUGAAGUUAAAGGCAGUGGCUUAACCAUUGUUCGCUUUGGAAACUGUUAGACUUGAGUGCAGAAGGGGAGAGUGGAAUUCCAUGUGUAGCGGUGAAAUGCGUAGAUAUAUGGAGGAACACCGGUGGCGAAAGCGGCUCUCUGGUCUGUAACUGACGCUGAGGCUCGAAAGCGUGGGGAGCAAACAGGAUUAGAUACCCUGGUAGUCCACGCCGUAAACGAUGAGUGCUAGGUGUUAGGCCCUUUCCGGGGCUUAGUGCCGCAGCUAACGCAUUAAGCACUCCGCCUGGGGAGUACGACCGCAAGGUUGAAACUCAAAGGAAUUGACGGGGGCCCGCACAAGCGGUGGAGCAUGUGGUUUAAUUCGAAGCAACGCGAAGAACCUUACCAGGUCUUGACAUCCCGAUGCUAUUCCUAGAGAUAGGAAGUUUCUUCGGAACAUCGGUGACAGGUGGUGCAUGGUUGUCGUCAGCUCGUGUCGUGAGAUGUUGGGUUAAGUCCCGCAACGAGCGCAACCCCUAUUGUUAGUUGCCAUCAUUAAGUUGGGCACUCUAGCGAGACUGCCGGUAAUAAACCGGAGGAAGGUGGGGAUGACGUCAAAUCAUCAUGCCCCUUAUGACCUGGGCUACACACGUGCUACAAUGGUUGGUACAACGAGUCGCGAGUCGGUGACGGCAAGCAAAUCUCUUAAAGCCAAUCUCAGUUCGGAUUGUAGGCUGCAACUCGCCUACAUGAAGUCGGAAUCGCUAGUAAUCGCGGAUCAGCACGCCGCGGUGAAUACGUUCCCGGGCCUUGUACACACCGCCCG
Molecule: ribosomal RNA, 1398 nt
Filed under: uncultured bacterium
Lineage: Bacteria
Description: partial 16S ribosomal RNA
Rfam family: Bacterial small subunit ribosomal RNA
Source: RNAcentral